UACGUAGGGUGCGAGCGUUAAUCGGAAUUACUGGGCGUAAAGCGUGCGCAGGCGGUUUUGUAAGACCAAUGUGAAAUCCCCGGGCUUAACCUGGGAACUGCAUAGGUGACUGCAAGGCUAGAGUACGGCAGAGGGGGGUAGAAUUCCACGUGUAGCAGUGAAAUGCGUAGAUAUGUGGAGGAAUACCGAUGGCGAAGGCAGCCCCUGGGUCGAUACUGACGCUCAUGCACGAAAGCGUGGGGAGCAAACAGGAUUAGAAACCCCGGUAGU
This 270-nucleotide ribosomal RNA is filed under the name uncultured bacterium. RNAcentral's name for it is "partial 16S ribosomal RNA". It matches the Rfam family "Bacterial small subunit ribosomal RNA", at positions 524 to 794 of the family's 1533-position model. The record is from RNAcentral.